Long non-coding RNA from Lemur catta (Ring-tailed lemur), 1074 nucleotides. RefSeq lists it as uncharacterized. Lineage: Eukaryota; Metazoa; Chordata; Mammalia; Primates; Lemuridae. The transcript has 3 exons. The record is from RefSeq and is a predicted model, not a curated record.
CUAGUUUAAAAAUUAAACAACAAUGAAAACUGUCUGUCGGGGGACUAUUCAAAGACCUUUGGUCUCAGACCCCCAAUCACUCAGGAGUACCUUGAGACCUGUUUCUUCCCGUUGAGCGGCAGUCACGGUUCUAACCUGGUUUUCCUAAUGGCUGGUAUCCUCUGACCUUUUCUGUCCUGGCAGUGACUUCUAUGCAUUUUGGCAGUGACUGUCUGAAUUUCUGGUUCAACCCUGAUCUCAGCCUCUCGGGCUUUCUCUCUCCUUUAAUUCCUCCCACUGGUGGCCAAGGCUUCUGCCGCCCUUACCCUUCCUGGAGCAACCCGUGCUUCUGAAAAAUGACCAUGCCGAAGGGAAACUAACACUUCCAGCCUGGAGCAGGUCUUGUCAAUCUGAUUUUUAAAUGAUGGAGGAGGCUUGAGGACAAAGCUCAUGGUGGCAUUACUGCCAUCCAGGAUGAUGCAAAACUCAAGCGGAAAGGAGGGAAGGAUCUUCCAAAUGGGAGCACAUUCCCAGACGCAGAGGACAGCGAGGUAUUUAAAGUGAACUGGAACAAACCUGCAACAUCAGGUGCGUUCUGCCUUCAAAAAUAGCUGCCAGUUAGAAAGGGUUAUUUACAUAUUGAUUUCAUGCUAACUUUGUAAUGGAAUGUGCUGCCUGCCUGCCUGCCUGAGACCUAACAACUGUCAUCAUAAUUUUUUCUAAAAAUACAGUCAGAGAAAAACACUCGUUGAACCCUCCACCAGAAAGAGGCUACAAAAGACCACCGAUCCCAAAUCUACUCGUCAGACCACCACGGGCAGGGACUCUCAACCACCACAGCUGAGGAAUAUUCCACAGCUGCAGCCGGCCCUCCCUUCUUCCAACCAGCCUGCACUCUCAUUUUUUUGUCUUUCUAGAAAACCUGUCUUGUUCAAAGGCCUGAUGCAGCUGAUUGGGUUGUGAUCCUGGGCAUAUGGAUGGCAUAUUUGCUGCGAGCUAGCCGCCCCCGCUGCUGGGGACGAAUCUUUCAUUCAUGAACAGAAGCUUGUUAGGCCAACUCCGACUCUCAAGCCACUUAAUUAAAUUGUGGGAAGU